Molecule: long non-coding RNA, 252 nt
Filed under: Nicotiana benthamiana
Lineage: Eukaryota; Viridiplantae; Streptophyta; Magnoliopsida; Solanales; Solanaceae
Description: long non-coding RNA (NBEN_LNC029727)
Source: RNAcentral
UCAAGCACUCUCACCUUACUCUUAGACCACUAGGUUCUGUCCCUUUUGUGUGAGCCUUGCUGUGGGACCCUUGAGCUCCGUCUGAACUUGGACACAUAAAAGUUGGCCUUUCCACACUGCACUUACUCUGUAUUGGAUAUGAAAUUUGGGUGUGAGCACUGCCCGUGAUCCCUUGAGGUCCUUAGGGAACUCUGACACACCCAGGUAUGAGGAAAAACUAUGAAACAAUCUUGGCACUUGAGGUGAUUUAUU